AUGGCCUGGACUCUGUUUCUACUCACUCUCCUCACCCAGGCCACAGGAACCUGGGCCCAGAAUGUUCUCAAUCAGCCUCUCUCAGUGUCUGGAACUCAGGGACAGACAGUUACCAUCUCCUGUACUGGGACCAGCAAUGACAUUGGGAGAUAUAAUGCUGUCUCCUGGUACCAGCAGCAGGAGGGCACAGCUCCCAAAAUGCUGAUUUAUAAUGUCAAUAAGCGGCCAUCAGGGAUCCCAGAUCGCUUCUCUGGCUCCAAGUCUGGCAACACAGCGACCCUGACCAUCUCUGGGCUCAAGCCUGAGGAUGAAACUGAUUAUUACUGUUGUUCAUAUACAACUAGUAGCACUUUCCACAGAAGUGUUCUCACUCGAACCCUCUGGGGUGUCCCAAGUGAAACAGACUGGCACAGGUUUCGAUGGUAUGGUUAUGGAAUGCAUCAUGUUGCUGCCUUCUGGGAGAAAAGGACAUGUGAUGUGGAUGGUGAUCAGUGA
Molecule: non-coding RNA, 495 nt
Organism: Sorex fumeus (smoky shrew)
Lineage: Eukaryota; Metazoa; Chordata; Mammalia; Eulipotyphla; Soricidae
Source: the annotation of a RefSeq genome assembly